This 237-nucleotide ribosomal RNA is filed under the name uncultured bacterium. Its description in RNAcentral is "partial 16S ribosomal RNA". It matches the Rfam family "Bacterial small subunit ribosomal RNA", at positions 15 to 263 of the family's 1533-position model. The record is from RNAcentral.
GAUCAUAGCUCAGGAUGAACGCUGACAGAAUGCUUAACACAUGCAAGUCUACUUGAACUUCGGUUUGGGUGGCGGACGGGUGAGUAACGCGUAAAGAACUUGCCUCACAGUUAGGGACAACAUUUGGAAACGAAUGCUAAUACCUGAUAUUAUGAUUUUAGGGCAUCCUAAGAUUAUGAAAGCUAUAUGCGCUGUGAGAGAGCUUUGCGUCCCAUUAGCUAGUUGGAGAGGUAACGG